This 435-nucleotide ribosomal RNA is filed under the name Pseudomonas sp. ITRI19. Its description in RNAcentral is "bacterial SSU rRNA". It matches the Rfam family "Bacterial small subunit ribosomal RNA", at positions 30 to 465 of the family's 1533-position model. Lineage: Bacteria; Pseudomonadati; Pseudomonadota; Gammaproteobacteria; Pseudomonadales; Pseudomonadaceae. The record is from RNAcentral.
AUUGAACGCUGGCGGCAGGCCUAACACAUGCAAGUCGAGCGGAUGAGAGGAGCUUGCUCCUUGAUUUAGCGGCGGACGGGUGAGUAAUGCCUAGGAAUCUGCCUGGUAGUGGGGGAUAACGUUCCGAAAGGAACGCUAAUACCGCAUACGUCCUACGGGAGAAAGCAGGGGACCUUCGGGCCUUGCGCUAUCAGAUGAGCCUAGGUCGGAUUAGCUAGUUGGUGAGGUAAUGGCUCACCAAGGCGACGAUCCGUAACUGGUCUGAGAGGAUGAUCAGUCACACUGGAACUGAGACACGGUCCAGACUCCUACGGGAGGCAGCAGUGGGGAAUAUUGGACAAUGGGCGAAAGCCUGAUCCAGCCAUGCCGCGUGUGUGAAGAAGGUCUUCGGAUUGUAAAGCACUUUAAGUUGGGAGGAAGGGCAUUAACCUAAUA